UAGGGAAUCUUCGGCAAUGGGGGGAACCCUGACCGAGCAACGCCGCGUGAGUGAAGAAGGUUUUCGGAUCGUAAAGCUCUGUUGUUAAGGAAGAACGAGUGUGAGAAUGGAAAGUUCAUGCUGUGACGGUACUUAACCAGAAAGGGACGGCUAACUACGUGCCAGCAGCCGCGGUAAUACGUAGGUCCCGAGCGUUGUCCGGAUUUAUUGGGCGUAAAGCGAGCGCAGGCGGUUAGAAAAGUCUGAAGUGAAAGGCAGUGGCUCAACCAUUGUAGGCUUUGGAAACUGUUUAACUUGAGUGCAGAAGGGGAGAGUGGAAUUCCAUGUGUAGCGGUGAAAUGCGUAGAUAAAUGGAGGAAAACCGGUGGCGAAAGCGGCUCUCUGGUCUGUAACUGACGCUGAGGCUCGAAAGCGUGGGGAGCGAACAGG
This 429-nucleotide ribosomal RNA is filed under the name Bacteroidota bacterium. RNAcentral's name for it is "Bacteroidetes bacterium partial 16S ribosomal RNA". It matches the Rfam family "Bacterial small subunit ribosomal RNA", at positions 355 to 776 of the family's 1533-position model. Lineage: Bacteria; Pseudomonadati; Bacteroidota. The record is from RNAcentral.